UCUCCAGACUCCUACGGGAGGCAGCAGUGGGGAAUAUUGGGCAAUGGGCGCAAGCCUGACCCAGCAACGCCGCGUGAAGGAAGAAGGCUUUCGGGUUGUAAACUUCUUUUAAGAGGGAAGAGUAGAAGACGGUACCUCUUGAAUAAGCCACGGCUAACUACGUGCCAGCAGCCGCGGUAAUACGUAGGUGGCAAGCGUUGUCCGGAUUUACUGGGUGUAAAGGGCGUGUAGCCGGGCUGACAAGUCAGAUGUGAAAUCCGGGGGCUCAACCCCCGAACUGCAUUUGAAACUGUUGGUCUUGAGUAUCGGAGGGGCAGGCGGAAUUCCUAGUGUAGCGGUGAAAUGCGUAGAUAUUAGGAGGAACACCGGUGGCGAAGGCGGCCUGCUGGACUGCAACUGACGUUGAGGCCCGAAAGCGUGGGGAGCAAACAGGAUUAGAUACCCGGGUA
RNAcentral lists this ribosomal RNA (449 nucleotides) under uncultured bacterium. RNAcentral describes it as "bacterial SSU rRNA". It matches the Rfam family "Bacterial small subunit ribosomal RNA", at positions 328 to 792 of the family's 1533-position model. The record is from RNAcentral.